Molecule: ribosomal RNA, 387 nt
Filed under: uncultured bacterium
Lineage: Bacteria
Description: bacterial SSU rRNA
Rfam family: Bacterial small subunit ribosomal RNA
Source: RNAcentral
GACGAACGCUGGCGGCGUGCCUAACACAUGCAAGUCGAACGGGGCGGAGGAAGCUUGCUUCCGAAGCUUAGUGGCGAACGGGUGAGUAACGCGUGAGGAACCUGCCUUUCAGUGGGGGACAACAGUUGGAAACGACUGCUAAUACCGCAUAAUGUAUCUGGACCGCAUGAUCCGGAUACCAAAGCUUUAUGUGCUGAAAGAUGGCCUCGCGUCUGAUUAGCUAGUUGGAGGGGUAACGGCCCACCAAGGCGACGAUCAGUAGCCGGUCUGAGAGGAUGAACGGCCACAUUGGGACUGAGAUACGGCCCAGACUCCUACGGAGGCAGCAGUGGGGAAUAUUGGGCAAUGGGCGAAAGCCUGACCCAGCAACGCCGCGUGAAGGAAGAA